This 74-nucleotide transfer RNA is filed under the name Candidatus Pelagibacterales bacterium. RNAcentral describes it as "tRNA-Asp". It matches the Rfam family "tRNA". Rfam says of the family: Transfer RNA (tRNA) molecules are approximately 80 nucleotides in length. Their secondary structure includes four short double-helical elements and three loops (D, anti-codon, and T loops). Lineage: Bacteria; Pseudomonadati; Pseudomonadota; Alphaproteobacteria; Candidatus Pelagibacterales. The record is from RNAcentral.
GCGGGUAUAACUCAGUUGGUUAGAGUGUUUGCUUGUCGAGCAAAAGGUCACGGGUUCGAGUCCCGUUACUCGCG